RNAcentral lists this ribosomal RNA (774 nucleotides) under uncultured Neocallimastigales. Its description in RNAcentral is "partial large subunit ribosomal RNA". It matches the Rfam family "Eukaryotic large subunit ribosomal RNA", at positions 23 to 616 of the family's 3401-position model. Lineage: Eukaryota; Fungi; Neocallimastigomycota; Neocallimastigomycetes; Neocallimastigales. The record is from RNAcentral.
AGAGAGAGACAUGCGCGCAUAUCAAUAAGCGGAGGAAAAGAAACUAACAAGGAUUCCCCUAGUAACGGCGAGUGAAGCGGGAAGAGCUCAAAUUUGAAAUCUUCAAGGGUUCUACCUUUACGAAUUGUAGUUUAAAGAAGUGUUUUCUGUUGAGGUUUUGGUAAAAGUUCUUUGGAAUAGGACAUCAUAGAGGGUGAGAAUCCCGUAUUUGACCUUUACUUUCAACUUUGUGAUACACUUUCAAAGAGUCGGAUUGUUUGGGAAUGCAGUCCAAAAUGGGUGGUAAAUUUCAUCUAAAGCUAAAUAUUGGCGAGAGACCGAUAGCGAACAUGUACCGUGAGGGAAAGAUGAAAAGAACUUUGAAAAGGGAGUUAAACAGUACGUGAAAUUGUCAAAAGGGAAGCGUUUGACACCAGUGUUGUUUUUCUGAAAAUCAAUUAAAGAACUGUUUAUGCUAAGUUGUUUAGACUUUAUCAGCUAUCUGUUUAGUUUUGAGCUUUUCUUUAAUGCACUUUUCAGUUAACAAGUCAACAUCAAUUUCUUUUGCUGUAAAAAACUUGAGGAAGGUGGCUUGAGAUUCGUCUUAAGUGUUCAUAGCCUCUUGCCUAUGCAGUCGGAGAGAUUGAGGUCUGCAGCGUAGAUCCUUCGGGGCUAAAUGCAUUUGUGCUAAGUUAUAGCAUUUUAUAGACAACUUGUUGACUAUGAUUUGUCUUGUAGCUUACUCGCUUAUGUUAUUUUACCUACGCUUAGGAUGUUGAGCGCAUGUCUCUCUCU